RNAcentral lists this ribosomal RNA (495 nucleotides) under uncultured bacterium. RNAcentral's name for it is "partial 16S ribosomal RNA". It matches the Rfam family "Bacterial small subunit ribosomal RNA", at positions 28 to 507 of the family's 1533-position model. The record is from RNAcentral.
GACGAACGCUGGCGGCGUGCCUAAUACAUGCAAGUCGAACGCUGAAGGAGGAGCUUGCUUCUCUGGAUGAGUUGCGAACGGGUGAGUAACGCGUAGGUAACCUGCCUGGUAGCGGGGGAUAACUAUUGGAAACGAUAGCUAAUACCGCAUAAUAGUAGAUGUUGCAUGACAUUUGCCUAAAAGGUGCAAUUGCAUCACUACCAGAUGGACCUGCGUUGUAUUAGCUAGUUGGUGGGGUAACGGCUCACCAAGGCGACGAUACAUAGCCGACCUGAGAGGGUGAUCGGCCACACUGGGACUGAGACACGGCCCAGACUCCUACGGGAGGCAGCAGUAGGGAAUCUUCGGCAAUGGACGGAAGUCUGACCGAGCAACGCCGCGUGAGUGAAGAAGGUUUUCGGAUCGUAAAGCUCUGUUGUAAGAGAAGAACGAGUGUGAGAGUGGAAAGUUCACACUGUGACGGUAUCUUACCAGAAAGGGACGGCUAACUACGUG